This 23-nucleotide non-coding RNA is filed under the name Cricetulus griseus (Chinese hamster). The record is from RNAcentral. RNAcentral also lists the same sequence under 1 other name. Lineage: Eukaryota; Metazoa; Chordata; Mammalia; Rodentia; Cricetidae.
CCUGCCACGCGGGAGGCCCGGGU